AUUUGGUGGUGAGGGCAAAUAGCACAUAAUUUUUUAAAUCUCUCCCAGUAUUCAUAUAGGCUCUCUCCUCUACGCUGCCUAAUGCCUGAGAUAUCUUUUCUGAUGAU
Molecule: non-coding RNA, 107 nt
Organism: Glycine max (soybean)
Lineage: Eukaryota; Viridiplantae; Streptophyta; Magnoliopsida; Fabales; Fabaceae
Source: Rfam